This 234-nucleotide unclassified non-coding RNA is filed under the name Hevea brasiliensis (rubber tree). Lineage: Eukaryota; Viridiplantae; Streptophyta; Magnoliopsida; Malpighiales; Euphorbiaceae. The record is from RNAcentral.
AAGCUGCUGCUGCUGCUGCUGCUGCUGCGGAUUACUGUUUUGAUGCUGCUGCUGUUGUUGCUGCUGUUGUAUUUGAGCCAUUUUUAACUUAAUCAGCGUAUCUGUAUCUCCACGAGGCAAAAGAGAGCCACCAGCUUGUAGAGGAGAUCCAACGUUUGGAAUCACAUCACCGACAGGAUUUGAAAGCCCAUCCUUCCCAAGCCCCAUAUUCCGGUUGUUCCAAAGCAUUCUCAA